GACGAACGCUGGCGGCGUGCCUAAUACAUGCAAGUAGAACGCACAGUUUAUACCGUAGCUUGCUACACCAUAGACUGUGAGUUGCGAACGGGUGAGUAACGCGUAGGUAACCUGCCUGGUAGCGGGGGAUAACUAUUGGAAACGAUAGCUAAUACCGCAUAAUAUUAAUUAUUGCAUGAUAAUUGAUUGAAAGGUGCAAAUGCAUCACUACCAGAUGGACCUGCGUUGUAUUAGCUAGUAGGUGAGGUAACGGCUCACCUAGGCGACGAUACAUAGCCGACCUGAGAGGGUGAUCGGCCACACUGGGACUGAGACACGGCCCAGACGCCUACGGGAGGCAGCAGUAGGGAAUCUUCGGCAAUGGACGAAAGUCUGACCGAGCAACGCCGCGUGAGUGAAGGAGGUUUUCGGAUCG
RNAcentral lists this ribosomal RNA (415 nucleotides) under uncultured bacterium. Its description in RNAcentral is "bacterial SSU rRNA". It matches the Rfam family "Bacterial small subunit ribosomal RNA", at positions 28 to 425 of the family's 1533-position model. The record is from RNAcentral.